Molecule: long non-coding RNA, 288 nt
Filed under: Ananas comosus (pineapple)
Lineage: Eukaryota; Viridiplantae; Streptophyta; Magnoliopsida; Poales; Bromeliaceae
Description: long non-coding RNA (ACOM_LNC040758)
Source: RNAcentral
AGACCGGUGGGCUUCCUGCAAGAUCAGCUCGCGAAGCUCUUCAUUCUCGGGCACGCACUACCGGUUUCGAAACUGAAGCGCGCCACCGGCGUCCACAGUGAAAUCGCCAUCUCGUCCUUCCUCGAUGUUGCGCCGCACCUUUUGGAGAUUCGGAUCUGUGGGUUGCAAUUUCUUGAUCCUCUCCAAUAAGGUCGGUUGAAUAACGAGCGCCAUCAGCUGAGCCGGGACCUCGGGAGCGACCACUUCGAGGUCCAGUCGCUCCAUCUCCAGCCCUAGGGGUGUUUGNNN